This 466-nucleotide ribosomal RNA is filed under the name uncultured bacterium. Its description in RNAcentral is "bacterial SSU rRNA". It matches the Rfam family "Bacterial small subunit ribosomal RNA", at positions 30 to 487 of the family's 1533-position model. The record is from RNAcentral.
AUUGAACGCUGGCGGCAGGCCUAACACAUGCAAGUCGAGCGGCAGCGACAUAAACAAUCCUUCGGGUGCGUUUAUGGGCGGCGAGCGGCGGACGGGUGAGUAAUGCCUGGGAAUAUGCCCUGAUGUGGGGGAUAACCAUUGGAAACGAUGGCUAAUACCGCAUAAUCUCUUCGGAGCAAAGAGGGGGACCUUCGGGCCUCUCGCGUCAGGAUUAGCCCAGGUGAGAUUAGCUAGUUGGUGAGGUAAGAGCUCACCAAGGCGACGAUCUCUAGCUGGUCUGAGAGGAUGAUCAGCCACACUGGAACUGAGACACGGUCCAGACUCCUACGGGAGCAGCAGUGGGGAAUAUUGCACAAUGGGGGAAACCCUGAUGCAGCCAUGCCGCGUGUGUGAAGAAGGCCUUCGGGUUGUAAAGCACUUUCAGUUGUGAGGAAGGCAUUAUCGUUAAUAGCGGUAGUGUUUGACG